Molecule: transfer-messenger RNA, 352 nt
Filed under: Oscillospiraceae
Lineage: Bacteria; Bacillati; Bacillota; Clostridia; Eubacteriales
Also listed under: 1 other name
Description: CAG-353 sp018110855 Standard tmRNA
Rfam family: transfer-messenger RNA
About the family: Bacterial tmRNA, also known as 10Sa RNA or SsrA, is named for its dual tRNA and mRNA-like properties. Its role is to liberate the mRNA from a stalled ribosome.
Source: RNAcentral
GGGGAUGUAAAGGUUUCGACGGGGACUUUGAAGCAUGAUAAGCGAGCAGAGGAUUGUGCUGAUCUCUUUAACCCGCACACGUUUUAAAAUUAGACGACAACGAUAAUUUUGAAUUAGCAGCUGCUUAAUUGCUGCUCGUCUGUCUGAGAAGUACCGCGGUCUCGGAACAGGCGCCGAUCAGCGGUGAACGUCAUGCAGAAGUGCCUGCGUCUGCAUGAUGUAUUGCAGGCUACUGAGCAUAAGCGCGUGUCUGUUUGCGCUUAUGUGAGGGAAUGUCAAUAACAGACUAUGCUCGUAGAAAGUCGUGUGGAUCGGUUUUCGGACACGGGUUCGAUUCCCGUCAUCUCCACCA